Long non-coding RNA from Perognathus longimembris pacificus (Pacific pocket mouse), 217 nucleotides. RefSeq lists it as uncharacterized. NCBI's taxonomy places the organism in Eukaryota, Metazoa, Chordata, Mammalia, Rodentia, Heteromyidae. The record is from RefSeq and is a predicted model, not a curated record. The transcript has 3 exons.
UACCAUCCUCAGAUCCAGAUCUCAGCUUCCAGAGCAGCUAGGAUUACAGCUGAACCAUGGGCUCUGGCUCAAAAAGCAUGUGACCACAACAGAUGAAAAAUCCUAAAGCUACAAACAGUAACUAAAACCCUGUGGGUCAUACGGCUAAGCCUGCUGCCCUCUUAGCCUAGCUGAGCAUGUUAAUUUGGGGUGUGGGGUAGGUGGAAAAUCCCAUGCU